CCUACGGGUGGCAGCAGUGGGGAAUAUUGGGCAAUGGAGGCAACUCUGACCCAGCAACGCCGCGUGAAUGAUGAAGGUCUUCGGAUUGUAAAGUUCUGUGAUGGGGGAUGAACACAAUGACGGUACCCCAAUAGCAAGCCACGGCUAACUACGUGCCAGCAGCCGCGGUAAUACGUAGGUGGCAAGCGUUAUCCGGAAUGACUGGGCGUAAGGGGUGCGUAGGUGGUUUAGUAAGUUGGCGGUGUAAUGCCGGGGCUCAACCUCGGCGCUACAGCCAAAACUAUUAGACUAGAGUGCAGGGGGGGUAAGUGGAAUUCCUAGUGUAGCGGUGGAAUGCGUAGAUAUUAGGAGGAACAUCAGGGGCGAAGGCGACUUACUGGACUGUAACUGACACUGAGGCACGAAAGCGUGGGGAGCAAACAGGAUUAGAUACCCGGGUAGUC
This 443-nucleotide ribosomal RNA is filed under the name uncultured bacterium. RNAcentral's name for it is "partial 16S ribosomal RNA". It matches the Rfam family "Bacterial small subunit ribosomal RNA", at positions 338 to 795 of the family's 1533-position model. The record is from RNAcentral.